CGCGCCUUCCAUCUCAGAAUCAACACGUCAAAGGUGGUGGUGCCUCUACCUCACAAACACCCCCACAUCAAACCUCAAAAUCUCACCCCAAAACUGCACCAGGAAUCCAAAUCAAGCCUCGUGAUCGCCACGGUAAACGACCAGUCCACGAACCUCCUCAUGCCGUGAUACCUGUACCACUAAGACCAGAAGAGAGACUACCACCACGGGAUGCUCCAAACUCUUCCAAAAUACCAGUACUAUCAAGCCCCGAAGAGAAACGACCACCACGGAUCAAUCCAAACUCUGAUAAAAGACCGUUACUAUUAAGCCCUGAAGGUCAUCAACGAUCUCCACCACCACAACAACCACAAGCACCACGCGGUUACGCAACAUCAUUACCUCCAAUAGCCAAACCAACUCCAUGGAGAAACGCUCCAACACCAUCACCGCAUCGCCGUGGUGGCCACCGGACGCCACCACCUUCAAGAGACCAAACAAACACAGCCACAUGGUCAGCUGCAUUCUGCUGUGCCAUCUUCUGGAUCAUUCUUAUCCUCAGCGGUCUAGUCGUCCUAAUCGUCUACCUAGUGUACCGUCCACGCUCUCCUCACAUCGACAUCUCAGCCGCUAACUUAAACGCCGCUUAUCUCGACAUGGGGUUUCUUCUAAACGGAGACCUAACCAUGUUAGCAAACUUCACAAACCCAAACAAGAAAAGCAGUGUAGAGUUCAGCUCUUUGACGUUCGAGCUUUACUACUACAACACUCUUAUAGCGUCUCAGUACGUUGAGCCUUUUAAGGUUCCUAAGAAAAUGUCCAUGUUUGCGAAUGUUCAUCUCGUGAGUAGUCAAAAUCCAAAUCAAGCCUCGUGAUCGCCACGGUAAACGACCAGUCCAAGAACCUCCUCAUUCCGUGAUACCUGUACCACUAAGACCAGAAGAGAGACUACCACCACGGGAAACUCCAAACUCUUCCAAAAUACCAGUACUAUCAAGCCCUGAAGAGAAACGACCACCACGGAAAAACCCAAACUCUGCU
Molecule: long non-coding RNA, 1020 nt
Filed under: Brassica napus (rape)
Lineage: Eukaryota; Viridiplantae; Streptophyta; Magnoliopsida; Brassicales; Brassicaceae
Description: long non-coding RNA (BNAP_LNC005558)
Source: RNAcentral